GGUUUUAUAGUUUAUAUAAAAUACUAGACUGCAAUUCUAGAGACACAGCAAUGUUAAGACUU
RNAcentral lists this transfer RNA (62 nucleotides) under Serratella sp. Liaoning-2019. Its description in RNAcentral is "tRNA-Cys". It matches the Rfam family "tRNA". From Rfam's summary of the family: Transfer RNA (tRNA) molecules are approximately 80 nucleotides in length. The record is from RNAcentral. Lineage: Eukaryota; Metazoa; Arthropoda; Insecta; Ephemeroptera; Ephemerellidae.